This 1292-nucleotide long non-coding RNA is filed under the name Sorghum bicolor (sorghum). Its description in RNAcentral is "long non-coding RNA (SBIC_LNC012824)". The record is from RNAcentral. Lineage: Eukaryota; Viridiplantae; Streptophyta; Magnoliopsida; Poales; Poaceae.
UGAGUUAGAGUAAACUGUCAAGACUUAAAACUUACUUACUUUACCUUCACCAUGGGACUUAUAACCGUCACUUCUAUCUUGAGUAGUUAAAAGAUAGAACAGUCUAGCCAAGUGCCAGGUCUCUCAUUCUUGAUCAGCUAUAGUUCUGGAGUUUUGGCAGAUUUUCAAAUAAAACUCAGAGAUUCCUUGUAUGAUUCUCUCAGAUCUCUUUUUUUGUGGUAUUUCUGGAUCCUUACCAAGGCAGUGAUGGUAUAUGCCUUCUCUCAAUAUAUGUGGUAAUUUGUGGUAUAAAGCAUAGUGACAUUGCCUUCUCUCUGACCCUACUCUAAUAAGACUUUAAUAUCUGGAGCUCAUAGGUGGGAGAUAAAAUAUACAUACUCACAAGACAUGUAUUGCAUAGUCAAACCAUGGAUCCAAAGAAACAAGUCAAUAAGUUUAAUCAAGAUGUGCAUGUGUGGCGAAUGAAUGGUGUAUGGUGAUGAUGGUGAUAACAAUGGUGAAAGUCUAAUUCUACUUUUGCUCUUUGAGGGGAUAUAUACCUUCCUUGCUUUUUGAAUAGUGAGGAGAAUGAGAUGCUCUUCAUUUUCUUUCCUCUCAGGUGGGUAUCUCAUACCCCUAAUUCUACUGUCGGACACUUGUCCAUUUUUACCUCUCGUCUCACUUUUUCUUUUCUUUCGAGGUUCCGGGCACUUGCUCCUUUUUAUUUCCUCAUAUCUUUUUUUCUCUUUUUUUUAGAGCACUCAUCUCUUGAGAUAAUAUAGCAAGUGGUAGUAACAAGAUAACUUGAGCACUUAUUUCACAAAGGAAAAACAAAAAUAUUUUUGGCUAUUCUCUCCCGGGUUAGGAGUAGAAUAUUUUUGGGUGGUUCUGGAGAUGGAAAUGGGUGGAUAUAUGUGGAUGAUACUUCCGGAGUAGAAGUAGCAUAUAUGAGUGAACGUGCAAGUGAAAUCUUGAUUUAACCAAAUAACAAGCUCCUAAGGGUCUACACAGCUUGACCACACUCAAUGCUCAUAAGCAGUAAAUAGUAAAUGUGUGGCUCAAAGUCUAGCAAGCAUGUAUAUAUGGCUGUGGUAGGAAUUUAAACUCUCAUCAUACAGGAACUCAACAUGCAACAUUUUAAAGAUUUUCAAAGAUAAAAUUCUCCAGAAUUCUAGCAUCUCUAGGAACAGAUAAACAGCAGCUCAACCUUCCCAUAUCAUAUCCGUUAACAACUUAGACUUCAGAUCAAGUUUUCAUCCCACAAGUUUAGGUCUAGAGCAAGCUUUAAAUUAUAACAAUUAUGUCUAAACUUG